Molecule: long non-coding RNA, 1053 nt
Organism: Dreissena polymorpha
Lineage: Eukaryota; Metazoa; Mollusca; Bivalvia; Myida; Dreissenidae
Exons: 2
Source: RefSeq, a predicted model, not a curated record
AGGUAUUUCCAUAUAUACACUAUGUUUACAGAAUUGCGGCCGGUGAAGCAACAUAGCUGAUGAGUAAAUAGCGCUAGUUCUUCAGACAAAUAACUUUAUUUUCAACCUAUAAAGCAUAUUUAGCUGUAGGUGGGGCCAUUUAGCUGUAAGAUCUGGCUUUGGUUCUGUUAAGCCCUUAGAGUAAUGAAUUUCAGAGUGAAGACCAUAGCGCCUUUUCCUAGUCGAGUAUCGGGCAGCUGUAUGUCUUUUCAGAAAUGCACAUGUCUUCUUUAGUAUGUCAUUGUGAUUGCUUUUAAGAUAGGCAAUAAACUCAUAACCUUUAGAAAAAGGAGCAUCUGUAAAUUCAGAUUUCACUAUUUCAGAGUCAGCCAGACCAUGAUUGAGCUUAAGGAUUGUGCUGCGGAUGCGGCCUGUGCAGUUCCGGGAGAAAGUCACUGUCUUGGGCAUUGCGGUCUGGUAUCAGGUCUGGAUGAUCCUUGCCUGACUCCGGGUUUGUGUACACCUCAAUCCGACUCCCUGUCCGGUACCAUGGCCGCAGUGGUGCAGCCCUUGUGGACGAUCCAUCGACAUCCUGAAAGGUCAACACUUCACCAAGCUGGGAAAAUUGAUCCUGAUAGUCAUCCCCAGGUAGUGAAAUGAAUGUACACUGAACUACAGAGGAAUCACACCCAAAUGACUUUUCUGACAUUAGUGUGGCCCCUUGGGCAGGAAUUCCUUAGCAAACAUGCUUUUUUGCAUGGGGACUGUGGCAUUUUUGCAAAACUUAAGCUUUCAACGCUGGAUUUUAAAGAGAACACUUAAUAAAAUGAAGCCAACAGGACUUAUUUUAAUGAGAGAGACUAUCUGGAUGAGCAACAAAUGUCACAUUGUGUCGUAAGCUGUUGAAGGAGCGAUUUGCGCCAUUUCAAGUGUUAAUUUUGGGUAGCAGGCUUGUAUCGGCUUGAAAGCUGCAAAUUAUUCCUCUCAUCAUGAUAGCAUUAAUUAUUUUAAUUGCAAUGUGUAUGUUUAGAUUGUAAGUGAAGCUUUUAAUAAUAAUUUUCUUGAAAAACAUGA